This 485-nucleotide non-coding RNA is filed under the name Gavia stellata (red-throated loon). Its description in RNAcentral is "Eukaryotic small subunit ribosomal RNA". It matches the Rfam family "Eukaryotic small subunit ribosomal RNA", at positions 633 to 1107 of the family's 1831-position model. Lineage: Eukaryota; Metazoa; Chordata; Aves; Gaviiformes; Gaviidae. The record is from Rfam by way of RNAcentral.
GUUCACUUAGUAUUCAUAAGAUGACAUAUUUUGUAAUUUAUUGCUUAGUAAAUACCAUCACAAGUUGCAAGAAGUUUAUAGGAAUUUUAAGGUUAAAAUGCCAUAAAAUUUUACCUUUCAUAUUCAGACUUGAUAUUUGGGUGGCUUCAGAACAGAGUCAAAUUUACAAAAGGUCUUCUGAAAUAGGACUCCAGUUCUAUUUUGAUGGUUUUUGGAAACGGGGCCAUGAUUAAGGGGGACAGCCGGGGGCAUUCGUAUUGUGCUACUAGAGGUGAAAUUCUUGGACCAGCAGGAGAUGGCUUAGAGUGAAAGCAUUUGCCAAAAAUGUUUUCGUGAAUCAAGAACAAAAGUCACAGGUUUGAAGACGAUCAGAUACCAUCAUAGUUCUGACCAUAAACAAUACCGACUGGUGAAACAGUUUUUUUCAGCAGUCUCUGUGGCGCAAUUGGUUAGCGCGUUCGGCUGUUAACCGAAAGGUUGGUGGU